GUUUGUAACCUGCCUCUAACCGGAGAAUAGCCCGAAGAAAUUCGGAUUAAUGCUCCAUAUUACUAUAAGAUGGCAUCAUUUUAUAGUGAAAGCCCCGGCGGUUAGAGAUGGGCAUGCGUGACAUUAGUUUGUUGGUGAGGUAACGGCUCACCAAGACCACGAUGUCUAGGGGGUCUGAGAGGAUGGUCCCCCACACUGGUACUGAGACACGGACCAGACUCCUACGGGAGGCAGCAGUGAGGAAUAUUGGUCAAUGGGCGAAAGCCUGAACCAGCCAUGCCGCGUGAAGGAUGACAGCGCUACGCGUUGUAAACUUCUUUUGUACGGGAAGAAACACUUCUACUUGUAGAAGCUUGACGGUACCGUACGAAUAAGCAUCGGCUAACUCCGUGCCAGCAGCCGCGGUAAUACGGAGGAUGCAAGCGUUAUCCGGAUUUAUUGGGUUUAAAGGGUACGUAGGCGGGAAAUUAAGUCAGUGGUGAAAUCCUGCAGCUCAACUGUAGAACUGUCAUUGAUACUGGUUUCCUUGAAUGUAGUUGAGGUAGGCGGAAUGUGUAAUGUAGCGGUGAAAUGCUUAGAUAUUACACAGAACACCGAUUGCGAAGGCAGCUUACUAAACUACGAUUGACGCUGAGGUACGAAAGCGUGGGGAGCGAACAGGAUUAGAUACCCUGGUAGUCCACGCUGUAAACGAUGAUCACUCGUUGUUGGCGAUAUACUGUCAGCGACUGAGCGAAAGCAUUAAGUGAUCCACCUGGGGAGUACGACCGCAAGGUUUAAACUCAAAGGAAUUGUCGGGGUGCCCGCACAAGCGGAGGAACAUGUGGUUUAAUUCGUUGAUACGCGAGGAACCUUACCUGGGCUUAAAUGCAGAACGACGGACGGGGAAACUGGUCUUUCUUCGGCCGGACUGCAAGGUGCUGCAUGGCUGUCGUCAGCUCGUGCCGUGAGGUGUCGGGUUAAGUCCCAUAUCGAGCGCAACCCUCAUCAUUAGUUGCCAGCGGGUAAUUCCGGGGACUCUAAUGAAACUGCCGGUGUAAACUGAGAGGAAGGUGGGGAUGACGUCAAGUCAGCACGGCCUUUAUGUCCAGGGCUACACACCGUGUUACAAUGGUCGGUAUCAAAGGGCAGCUACCUGGCAACAGGAUGCUAAUCUCGAAAACCGAUCUUAGUUCGG
RNAcentral lists this ribosomal RNA (1177 nucleotides) under uncultured organism. RNAcentral describes it as "bacterial SSU rRNA". It matches the Rfam family "Bacterial small subunit ribosomal RNA", at positions 117 to 1296 of the family's 1533-position model. The record is from RNAcentral.